CGGGAGGAGAAUGGUCUGAAGUA
This 23-nucleotide non-coding RNA is filed under the name Cricetulus griseus (Chinese hamster). Lineage: Eukaryota; Metazoa; Chordata; Mammalia; Rodentia; Cricetidae. The record is from RNAcentral.